CCUACGGGGAGCAGCAGUGGGGAAUAUUGCGCAAUGGGCGAAAGCCUGACGCAGCGACGCCGCGUGAGGGAUGAAGGUCUUCGGAUCGUAAACCUCUGUCAGCAGGGAAGAAGGGUCACUGGGAUAAUCAUCAGUGAAUUGACGGUACCUGCAGAGGAAGCACCGGCUAACUCCGUGCCAGCAGCCGCGGUAAUACGGAGGGUGAGAGCGUUAAUCGGAAUUACUGGGCGUAAAGCGCUCGUAGGCGGUAUGUCAAGUCAAGGGUGAAAUCCCCGCGCUCACCGUGGGAACUUCCUCUUAAACUGGCAAACUGGAGUGUGUGAGAGGAGAGUGGAAUUCCAGGUGUAGGAGUGAAAUCCGUAGAGAUCUGGAGGAAUAUCAGUGGCGAAGGCGACUAUCUGGAACAUAACUGACGCUGAGGAGCGAAAGCGUGGGUAGCAAACAGGAUUAGAUACCCCUGUAGUC
This 465-nucleotide ribosomal RNA is filed under the name uncultured bacterium. RNAcentral describes it as "partial 16S ribosomal RNA". It matches the Rfam family "Bacterial small subunit ribosomal RNA", at positions 338 to 795 of the family's 1533-position model. The record is from RNAcentral.